Non-coding RNA from Zygosaccharomyces rouxii, 91 nucleotides. Lineage: Eukaryota; Fungi; Ascomycota; Saccharomycetes; Saccharomycetales; Saccharomycetaceae. The record is from Rfam.
GCGGAUUUAGCUCAGUUGGGAGAGCGCCAGACUGAAGAAAAACUUCGGUUGAGUUAUCUGGAGGUCCUGUGUUCGAUCCACAGAAUUCGCA